This 1277-nucleotide ribosomal RNA is filed under the name Salmonella enterica subsp. enterica serovar Indiana. Its description in RNAcentral is "partial 23S ribosomal RNA". It matches the Rfam family "Bacterial large subunit ribosomal RNA", at positions 161 to 1392 of the family's 2925-position model. Lineage: Bacteria; Pseudomonadati; Pseudomonadota; Gammaproteobacteria; Enterobacterales; Enterobacteriaceae. The record is from RNAcentral.
AAUCCAUAGGUUAAUGAGGCGAACCGGGGGAACUGAAACAUCUAAGUACCCCGAGGAAAAGAAAUCAACCGAGAUUCCCCCAGUAGCGGCGAGCGAACGGGGAGGAGCCCAGAGCCUGAAUCAGCAUGUGUGUUAGUGGAAGCGUCUGGAAAGGCGCGCGAUACAGGGUGACAGCCCCGUACACAAAAGCGCAUGUGCUGUGAGCUCGAUGAGUAGGGCGGGACACGUGGUAUCCUGUCUGAAUAUGGGGGGACCAUCCUCCAAGGCUAAAUACUCCUGACUGACCGAUAGUGAACCAGUACCGUGAGGGAAAGGCGAAAAGAACCCCGGCGAGGGGAGUGAAAAAGAACCUGAAACCGUGUACGUACAAGCAGUGGGAGCACCCUUCGGGGUGUGACUGCGUACCUUUUGUAUAAUGGGUCAGCGACUUAUAUUCUGUAGCAAGGUUAACCGAAUAGGGGAGCCGGAGGGAAACCGAGUCUUAAUUGGGCGUUAAGUUGCAGGGUAUAGACCCGAAACCCGGUGAUCUAGCCAUGGGCAGGUUGAAGGUUGGGUAACACUAACUGGAGGACCGAACCGACUAAUGUUGAAAAAUUAGCGGAUGACCUGUGGCUGGGGGUGAAAGGCCAAUCAAACCGGGAGAUAGCUGGUUCUCCCCGAAAGCUAUUUAGGUAGCGCCUCGUGAAUUCAUCUCCGGGGGUAGAGCACUGUUUCGGCUAGGGGGCCAUCCCGGCUUACCAACCCGAUGCAAACUGCGAAUACCGGAGAAUGUUAUCACGGGAGACACACGGCGGGUGCUAACGUCCGUCGUGAAGAGGGAAACAACCCAGACCGCCAGCUAAGGUCCCAAAGUCAUGGUUAAGUGGGAAACGAUGUGGGAAGGCCCAGACAGCCAGGAUGUUGGCUUAGAAGCAGCCAUCAUUUAAAGAAAGCGUAAUAGCUCACUGGUCGAGUCGGCCUGCGCGGAAGAUGUAACGGGGCUAAACCAUGCACCGAAGCUGCGGCAGCGAACGUAUCACCCAAGACAACUUUGCGGAGUUGACGAUUGACGGAGCGAAGCGACGUCAAAGCGUUCAUUAAAGUCGAGUUGGCUUAGGGAUACGUUCGUUGGGUAGGGGAGCGUUCUGUAAGCCUGUGAAGGUGUGCUGUGAGGCAUGCUGGAGGUAUCAGAAGUGCGAAUGCUGACAUAAGUAACGAUAAAGCGGGUGAAAAGCCCGCUCGCCGGAAGACCAAGGGUUCCUGUCCAACGUUAAUCGGGGCAGGGUGAGUCGACCCCU